UCCUUUGAAGUUAGCGGCGGACGGGUGAGUAACACGUGGGUAACCUACCUAUAAGACUGGAAUAACUUCGGGAAACCGGAGCUAAUGCCGGAUAACAUUUGGAACCGCAUGGUUCUAAAGUAAAAGAUGGUUUUGCUAUCACUUAUAGAUGGACCCGCGCCGUAUUAGCUAGUUGGUAAGGUAACGGCUUACCAAGGCAACGAUACGUAGCCGACCUGAGAGGGUGAUCGGCCACACUGGAACUGAGACACGGUCCAGACUCCUACGGGAGGCAGCAGUAGGGAAUCUUCCGCAAUGGACGAAAGUCUGACGGAGCAACGCCGCGUGAGUGAUGAAGGUUUUCGGAUCGUAAAACUCUGUUAUUAGGGAAGAACAAAUGUGUAAGUAACUGUGCACAUCUUGACGGUACCUAAUCAGAAAGCCACGGCUAACUACGUGCCAGCAGCCGCGGUAAUACGUAGGUGGCAAGCGUUAUCCGGAAUUAUUGGGCGUAAAGCGCGCGUAGGCGGUUUCUUAAGUCUGAUGUGAAAGCCCACGGCUCAACCGUGGAGGGUCAUUGGAAACUGGGAAACUUGAGUACAGAAGAGGAAAGUGGAAUUCCAUGUGUAGCGGUGAAAUGCGCAGAGAUAUGGAGGAACAC
Molecule: ribosomal RNA, 640 nt
Filed under: bacterium
Lineage: Bacteria
Description: bacterial SSU rRNA
Rfam family: Bacterial small subunit ribosomal RNA
Source: RNAcentral